AAGAGAAGCUUGCUGUCUCCUUGAGAAGCGGCGGACGGGUGAGUAAUGCCUAGGAAUCUGCCUGGUAGUGGGGGAUAACGUUCGGAAACGGACGCUAAUACCGCAUACGUCCUACGGGAGAAAGCAGGGGACCUUCGGGCCUUGCGCUAUCAGAUGAGCCUAGGUCGGAUUAGCUAGUUGGUGAGGUAAUGGCUCACCAAGGCGACGAUCCGUAACUGGUCUGAGAGGAUGAUCAGUCACACUGGAACUGAGACACGGUCCAGACUCCUACGGGAGGCAGCAGUGGGGAAUAUUGGACAAUGGGCGAAAGCCUGAUCCAGCCAUGCCGCGUGUGUGAAGAAGGUCUUCGGAUUGUAAAGCACUUUAAGUUGGGAGGAAGGGCAGUUACCUAAUACGUGAUUGUUUUGACGUUACCGACAGAAUAAGCACCGGCUAACUCUGUGCCAGCAGCCGCGGUAAUACAGAGGGUGCAAGCGUUAAUCGGAAUUACUGGGCGUAAAGCGCGCGUAGGUGGUUUGUUAAGUUGGAUGUGAAAUCCCCGGGCUCAACCUGGGAACUGCAUUCAAAACUGACUGACUAGAGUGUGGUAGAGGGUGGGUGGAAUUUCCUGUGUAGCGGUGAAAUGCGUAGAUAUAGGAAGGAACACCAGUGGCGAAGGCGACCACCUGGACCAACACUGACACUGAGGUG
RNAcentral lists this ribosomal RNA (690 nucleotides) under Pseudomonas sp. B5(2015). RNAcentral's name for it is "bacterial SSU rRNA". It matches the Rfam family "Bacterial small subunit ribosomal RNA", at positions 71 to 753 of the family's 1533-position model. The record is from RNAcentral. Lineage: Bacteria; Pseudomonadati; Pseudomonadota; Gammaproteobacteria; Pseudomonadales; Pseudomonadaceae.